AACUAUGUAAAACUUACAACUUAGUUUACAAAUCAUUCUUUUUAUCUAUUCUAACUAGAAAUUCUAUCAACUAAACCCCUAAUUUAACAACUUGUUCAAAAUGAAUCAUGUUCAAAAACCUAUGAACUUCCAUAACCUCCACUUAACUUCAACAAAACUUUGUUUUAAAGCUUCUAAAACAUCAAAAUGAAGAGAAAAUGGCUAAAUUUAGCUUACCAAUUAACUUGAAGCUUUAAAAUCUCAAUUUCCCCUUUUUAUUUUCUUUCCCUUUUUCUUCCCCUGUUUUUCGUC
RNAcentral lists this long non-coding RNA (291 nucleotides) under Gossypium raimondii (Peruvian cotton). RNAcentral's name for it is "long non-coding RNA (GRAI_LNC005239)". The record is from RNAcentral. Lineage: Eukaryota; Viridiplantae; Streptophyta; Magnoliopsida; Malvales; Malvaceae.